RNAcentral lists this ribosomal RNA (451 nucleotides) under uncultured bacterium. Its description in RNAcentral is "partial 16S ribosomal RNA". It matches the Rfam family "Bacterial small subunit ribosomal RNA", at positions 354 to 796 of the family's 1533-position model. The record is from RNAcentral.
GUGGGGAAUAUUGGGCAAUGGGCGAAAGCCUGACCCAGCAACGCCGUGUGAGGGAAGAAGGCUUUCGGGUCGUAAACCUCUGUCAGAAAGGAAGAACCUCCCAAGUCCGAAUAGGGCUUGGGACUGACGGUACUUUCAAAGGAAGCACCGGCUAACUCCGUGCCAGCAGCCGCGGUAAUACGGAGGGUGCAAGCGUUAAUCGGAAUCACUGGGCGUAAAGCGCGCGUAGGCCGCUUUGUAAGUCGGACGUGAAAGCCCUCGGCUCAACCGGGGAACUGCGUUCGAUACUGCGAGGCUUGAGUCCUGGAGAGGGUGGCGGAAUUCCGGGUGUAGGAGUGAAAUCCGUAGAUAUCCGGAGGAACACCGGUGGCGAAGGCGGCCACCUGGACAGGUACUGACGCUGAGGCGCGAAAGCGUGGGGAGCAAACAGGAUUAGAAACCCCAGUAGUCC